GUGUCAGCAGCUGCGGUAAUACGUAGGUGGCAAGCGUUAUCCGGAAUUAUUGGGCGUAAAGCGCGCGCAGGUGGUUUCUUAAGUCUGAUGUGAAAGCCCACGGCUCAACCGUGGAGGGUCAUUGGAAACUGGGAGACUUGAGUGCAGAAGAGGAAAGUGGAAUUCCAUGUGUAGCGGUGAAAUGCGCAGAGAUAUGGAGGAACACCAGUGGCGAAGGCGACUUUCUGGUCUGUAACUGACGCUGAUGUGCGAAAGCGUGGGGAUCAAACAGGAUUAGAUACCCAAGUAGUCC
This 292-nucleotide ribosomal RNA is filed under the name uncultured Staphylococcus sp. RNAcentral's name for it is "partial 16S ribosomal RNA". It matches the Rfam family "Bacterial small subunit ribosomal RNA", at positions 505 to 796 of the family's 1533-position model. Lineage: Bacteria; Bacillati; Bacillota; Bacilli; Caryophanales; Staphylococcaceae. The record is from RNAcentral.